GGUCAAGUUAGAAAGGGCGUACGGUGAAUGCCCUGGCAUCGGAGGGCGAUGAAGGACGUAGGAGGCUGCGAUAAGCCACGGGGAGGAGUCAACCAUCCUUUGAUCCGUGGAUUUCCGAAUGGGAAAACCCAGUCCCGGUAAAGCGGGAUUAUCAUGCACUGAAUUCAUAGGUGUAUGAGGCAGACCCGGGGAAGUGAAACAUCUCAGUACCCGGAGGAAAAGAAAUCUAAUGAGAUUCCCUCAGUAGCGGCGAGCGAAAGGGGAAGAGCCCAAACCGACCCUAACACAAAGCACAAAACAGUGCCAUAGUUCCUAAGUCAGAAGUUCCAUAGUAAAGCUUCCGGACUUUGGCGCUACGGACUUUGCUUUUUUGGUCUUUGUGUUAGGGUCGGGGUUGUAGGACCGCGUAAGUAGGAACACUGCAUUAUAGCUGAAUGUUCUGGAAAGGACAUCCAAAGAAGGUGAUAGGCCCGUAAGCGAAAUGGUGCAGAAACCGAAGCGGUAUCCUGAGUACCAUAGGACACGUGGAAUCCUGUGGGAAGCUGGGGAGACCACUCUCCAAGGCUAAAUACCAUCUGAUGACCGAUAGUGCACUAGUACCGUGAGGGAAAGGUGAAAAGAACCCCGGUGAGGGGAGUGAAAUAGAACCUGAAACCGUAUGCCUACAAGCAAUCGGAGCUUGCCGCAAGGCGAGUGACGGUGUGCCUUUUGAUUAAUGAGCCGGCGAGUUACUGGCUGUAGCAAGGUUAAGUCCUUAAGGGACGGAGCCGUAGGGAAACCGAGUCUUAAUAGGGCGUUUAGUUACAGUUAGUAGACCCGAAGCCAGGUGAUCUACCCAUGGUCAGGGUGAAGGUGAAGUAAAAUUCACUGGAGGCCCGAACUGAUGUUUGUUGCAAAAAGCUCGGAUGAACUGUGGGUCGGAGCGAAAGACUAAUCAAACCUGGUGAUAGCUGGUUCUCCCCGAAAUGCAUUUAGGUGCAGCCUCGGAGUAGUCUUACGGGGGUAGGGCACUGGAUGGGAUAGGGCCUCGAAUGGGGUACCAAACCCAACCAAACCACGAAUACCGUGGAGACGUUCUCCGGGAGUGAGACUGCGGGUGCUAAGAUUCGUAGUCGAGAGGAAAACAGUCCAGACCGUCAGCUAAGGUCCCUAAAGGUGUUCUAAGUGGAAAAGGAUGUAGUGUUGCUUAGACAGCCAGGAUGUUGGCUUAGAAGCAGCCAUCAUUUAAAGAAAGCGUAAUAGCUCACUGGUCAAGCGACACUGCGCCGAAAAUUUAUCGGGGCUAAGUACACUACCGAAGCUACGGAUUCAUCGCAAGAUGAGUGGUAGGGGAGCAUUCUGCGGACCUGUGAAGGUGAGGCGUGAGCCUUGCUGGAGGGGGCAGAAGAGAUUAUGCCGGCAUAAGUAGCGCAAAUUCUGAUGAAAAGUCAGGACGCCGUAAACCUAAGGUUUCCUGGGGAAGGGAAAUCCGCCCAGGGUUAGUCGGGCCUAAGGCGAGGCUGAAAAGCGUAGCCGAUGGACAACUGGUUAAUAUUCCAGUACCAUCUUGUAUGUGUUUGACCGAAGGGGGGACGCAGAAGGACAGUCUGAGCCUAGUGAUGGUUUAGGUCCAAACACUUAGGCUGGUGAGUAGGUAAAUCCGCUCACCAUUAAAGCUGAUGUGUGACGGGGAAGCCCUCAAGGGUGAACUCAGGCGAUUCCACACUGACGAGAAAAACCUCGUAGGGAAUAUACAGGAUGACCGUACCGCAAACCGACACUGGUAGGUGAGUAGAAGAUACUAAGGCGAUCGAGUUAACCCUCGCUAAGGAACUCGGCAAAAUAACCCCGUAACUUCGGGAGAAGGGGUCCCCCGAUUCGUCGGGGGCGCAGUGAAGAGGCCCAGGCGACUGUUUACCAAAAACACAGGAGGCUGCUAACUCGCAAGAGGAUGUAUAGCCUCUGACGCCUGCCCGGUGCCGGAAGGUUAACAGGAGGGGUCAUCCGCAAGGAGAAGCCCUGAAUCGAAGCCCCGGUAAACGGCGGCCGUAACUAUAACGGUCCUAAGGUAGCGAAAUUCCUUGUCGGGUAAGUUCCGACCUGCACGAAUGGCGUAACGAUCUGGGCGCUGUCUCGGCGAGGGGCUCGGCGAACUUGAGAUACCGGUGAAGACGCCGGUUACCCGCAACUAGACGGAAAGACCCUGUGCACCUUUACUAUAGCUUGACAGUGAGCUUUGGUGAUAUAUGUGUAGGAUAGGUGGGAGGCUUUGAGGCGUGGGCGCUAGUUCACGCGGAGCCGUCCUUGAAAUACCACCCUUAUCUUACUGGGGCUCUAACCUGUCCCCGUGAUCCGGGGAAGGGACACUGUCUGGUGGGUAGUUUGACUGGGGCGGUCGCCUCCUAAAGAGUAACGGAGGCGUCCAAAGGUCUCCUCAGGCUGGACGGAAACCAGCCGUUGAGUGCAAAGGCAUAAGGAGGCUUGACUGCGAGGCAAACAAGCCGAGCAGGUACGAAAGUAGGGCUUAGUGAUCCGGUGGUUCUGAGUGGAAGGGCCAUCGCUCAACGGAUAAAAGGUACGCCGGGGAUAACAGGCUUAUCGCGUCCAAGAGUUCACAUCGACGACGCGGUUUGGCACCUCGAUGUCGACUCAUCGCAUCCUGGGGCUGAAGUAGGUCCCAAGGGUUCGGCUGUUCGCCGAUUAAAGCGGUACGAGAGUUGGGUUCAGAACGUCGUGAGACAGUUCGGUCCCUAUCUGUUGUGGGCGGAGGAGACUUGAGGGGCACUGUCCUUAGUACGAGAGGACCGGGAUGGACAGACCUCUAGUGUUCCGGUUGUCAUGCCAAUGGCAAUGCCGGGUAGCUAUGUCAGGAAGGGAUAAACGCUGAAGGCAUCUAAGUGUGAAGCCCACCCCAAGAUUAGGUCUCCCGUGGAGUAAUCCACCUAAAGGUCUGUGGUAGACCACCACUUUGAUAGGCUGGAAGUGUAAGUGCAGUAAUGCAUUCAGCUUACCAGUACUAAUAGGCCGUGAGGCUUGACCCU
RNAcentral lists this ribosomal RNA (3020 nucleotides) under Nitrospirae bacterium GWF2_44_13. RNAcentral describes it as "bacterial LSU rRNA". It matches the Rfam family "Bacterial large subunit ribosomal RNA". Lineage: Bacteria; Pseudomonadati; Nitrospirota. The record is from RNAcentral.